UCCCUAGUGGUCCAGUGAUUAGGACUCUGCGCUUCCACUGCGGGCGGCACAGGUUCGAUCCCUGGUCAGGGAA
Molecule: non-coding RNA, 73 nt
Organism: Bos taurus (domestic cattle)
Lineage: Eukaryota; Metazoa; Chordata; Mammalia; Artiodactyla; Bovidae
Source: Rfam